This 496-nucleotide ribosomal RNA is filed under the name uncultured bacterium. RNAcentral's name for it is "partial 16S ribosomal RNA". It matches the Rfam family "Bacterial small subunit ribosomal RNA", at positions 29 to 507 of the family's 1533-position model. The record is from RNAcentral.
AUGAACGCUGGCGGCGUGCCUAAUACAUGCAAGUCGAGCGAACAGACGAGGAGCUUGCUCCUCUGACGUUAGCGGCGGACGGGUGAGUAACACGUGGAUAACCUACCUAUAAGACUGGGAUAACUUCGGGAAACCGGAGCUAAUACCGGAUAAUAUAUUGAACCGCAUGGUUCAAUAGUGAAAGACGGUUUUGCUGUCACUUAUAGAUGGAUCCGCGCCGCAUUAGCUAGUUGGUAAGGUAACGGCUUACCAAGGCAACGAUGCGUAGCCGACCUGAGAGGGUGAUCGGCCACACUGGAACUGAGACACGGUCCAGACUCCUACGGGAGGCAGCAGUAGGGAAUCUACCGCAAUGGGCGAAAGCCUGACGGAGCAACGCCGCGUGAGUGAUGAAGGUCUUCGGAUCGUAAAACUCUGUUAUUAGGGAAGAACAAAUGUGUAAGUAACUAUGCACGUCUUGACGGUACCUAAUCAGAAAGCCACGGCUAACUACGUG